ACGAACGCUGGCGGCGUGCUUAACACAUGCAAGUCGCACGCUGAAGACCUGGCUUUUGUUGGGUUGGAUGAGUGGCGAACGGGUGAGUAACACGUGAGUAACCUGCCCUCUUCUUUGGGAUAACGCCCGGAAACGGGUGCUAAUACUGGAUAUUCACUGGCCUUCGCAUGGGGGUUGGUGGAAAGGUUUGUUCUGGUGGGGGAUGGGCUCGCGGCCUAUCAGCUUGUUGGUGGGGUGAUGGCCUACCAAGGCUUUGACGGGUAGCCGGCCUGAGAGGGUGACCGGUCACAUUGGGACUGAGAUACGGCCCAGACUCCUACGGGAGGCAGCAGUGGGGAAUAUUGCACAAUGGGCGAAAGCCUGAUGCAGCGACGCCGCGUGAGGGAUGGAGGCCUUCGGGUUGUAAACCUCUUUCGCUCAUGGUCAAGCCGCAACUGUGGGUUGUGGUGAGGGUAGUGGGUAAAGAAGCGCCGGCUAACUACGUG
This 485-nucleotide ribosomal RNA is filed under the name uncultured bacterium. RNAcentral describes it as "partial 16S ribosomal RNA". It matches the Rfam family "Bacterial small subunit ribosomal RNA", at positions 29 to 507 of the family's 1533-position model. The record is from RNAcentral.